Non-coding RNA from Pelobates cultripes (western spadefoot toad), 233 nucleotides. NCBI's taxonomy places the organism in Eukaryota, Metazoa, Chordata, Amphibia, Anura, Pelobatidae. The record is from the annotation of a GenBank genome assembly.
CAUAUAAGAAAAAACAACUCUGUUCCGCAGAAUAGCUGUUGACAUUAUAGUUGCGCAGGAACUUUGUUGACUCUAGAGAACAUCAGGCAAAUCGAACAUUCUCGUGGCGGCGACUUUGCAUGCGGAUGUCAUCCAUUUCAACUUUCGAUGCCAGUUACCACGGGUAAUGGGGAAUCAGGGUUCCAUUCCAUACAGGGACCCUGAGAAACGGCUACCACAUGCAAAGAAGGCAG